UCGAUUUGGAGUUUGUUGCCUAGAGUGAUGGGCUCCGAAGCUAACGCGAUAAAUCGACCGCCUGGGGAGUACGGCCGCAAGGUUAAAACUCAAAUGAAUUGACGAGGGCCCGCACAAGCGGUGGAGCAUGUGGUUUAAUUCGAUGCAACGCGAAGAACCUUACCUGGUCUUGACAUCCACAGAAUUCUCCGGAGACGGAGAAGUGCCUUCGGGAACUGUGAGACAGGUGCUGCAUGGCUGUCGUCAGCUCGUGUUGUGAAAUGUUGGGUUAAGUCCCGCAACGAGCGCAACCCUUAUCCUUUGUUGCCAGCGAUUCGGUCGGGAACUCAAAGGAGACUGCCGGUGAUAAACCGGAGGAAGGUGGGGAUGACGUCAAGUCAUCAUGGCCCUUACGACCAGGGCUACACACGUGCUACAAUGGCGCAUACAAAGAGAAGCGACCUCGCGAGAGCAAGCGGACCUCAUAAAGUGCGUCGUAGUCCGGAUCGGAGUCUGCAACUCGACUCCGUGAAGUCGGAAUCGCUAGUAAUCGUGGAUCAGAAUGCCACGGUGAAUACGUUCCCGGGCCU
RNAcentral lists this ribosomal RNA (569 nucleotides) under uncultured Gammaproteobacteria bacterium. RNAcentral's name for it is "bacterial SSU rRNA". It matches the Rfam family "Bacterial small subunit ribosomal RNA", at positions 812 to 1381 of the family's 1533-position model. Lineage: Bacteria; Pseudomonadati; Pseudomonadota; Gammaproteobacteria. The record is from RNAcentral.